GGGGAAUAUUGGACAAUGGGCGAAAGCCUGAUCCAGCCAUGCCGCGUGGAUGAUGACGGCCCUAGGGUUGUAAAGUCCUUUUAACGGGGAAGAUAAUGACGGUACCCGUAGAAUAAGCCCCGGCUAACUUCGUGCCAGCAGCCGCGGUAAUACGAAGGGGGCUAGCGUUGCUCGGAAUCACUGGGCGUAAAGCGCACGUAGGCGGCUUUCUAAGUCAGGGGUGAAAUCCUGGAGCUCAACUCCAGAACUGCCUUGGAUACUGGAGAGCUUGAGUUCGGGAGAGGUGAGUGGAACUGCGAGUGUAGAGGUGAAAUGCGUAGAUAUUCGCAAGAACACCAGUGGCGAAGGCGGCUCACUGGCCCGAUACUGACGCUGAGGUGCGAAAGCGUGG
Molecule: ribosomal RNA, 391 nt
Filed under: uncultured bacterium
Lineage: Bacteria
Description: bacterial SSU rRNA
Rfam family: Bacterial small subunit ribosomal RNA
Source: RNAcentral